CGGUAAUUCCAGCUCCAAUAGCGUAUACUAAAGUUGUUGCAGUUAAAAAGCUCGUAGUUGGAUUUCUGCGGGGACGGAGCGGCCGGACGCAACUUGCGUCUCGAGCUAGCGCUUUCCCCGCAUCCUGCCGCGAACCGUGCUACCAUUAGCUUGGUGGCGCUGGGGAUCGGCUCGAUUACUUUGAGAAAAAUAGAGUGUUCAAAGCAGGCCACACGCCUUGAAUAAGUUAGCAUGGAAUAAUGACUAAGGACUUUGGUUCUUUUCGUUGGUGUUCGGGACUGAAGUAAUGAUUGAUAGGGACAGUUGGGGCGGUCUGUAUUCCAAAGCGAGAGGUGAAAUUCUUAGACCUUCGGAAGACAAACAGCUGCGAAAGCGUUCCGCAAGGAUGUUCCCUUUGAUCAAGAACGAAAGUUGGGGGAUCGAAGACGAUCAGAUACCGUCGUAGUCUCAACUAUAAACUAUACCAGCUAGGGAUCGGCCAACGUUUAAUUAUUCGACUUGGUCGGCACCUUAUGAGAAAUCAAAGCAUCUGGGUUCCGGGGGGAGUAUGGUCGCAAGGCUGAAACUUAAAGGAAUUGACGGAAGGGCACCACCAGGCGUGGAGCCUGUGGCUUAAUUUGACUCAACACGGGAAAACUUACCAGGUCCAGACAUAGGAAGGAUUGACAGAUUGAUAGCUCUUUCUUGAUUCUGUGGGUGGUGGUGCAUGGCCGUUUUUAGUCGGUGAAGUGAUUUGUCUGCUUAAUUGCGUUAACGGACGAGACCCCAGCCUGCUAAAUAGCGCGGCCGAGCUUUGCUCGGUGCGAGCUUCUUAGAGGGACCAUGAUGCGCGAUAGCACAAGGAAGUUUGGGGCAACAACAGGUCUGUGAUGCCCUUAGAUGUUCUGGGCCGCACACGGGCUACACUGGCGCCUGCAACGAGCAUAUCAGCUGGCCCGAGAGGGUCUUGGCUAAUCUUUGGAACCGGCGCCGUGCUUGGGAUUGACCAUUGCAAUUGUUGGUCAUGCAACGAGGAAUGCCUUGUAAACGCGAGUCAUCAGCUCGCAUUGAAUACGUCCCUGCCCUUUGUACACACCGCCCGUCGCUCCUACCGAUGAAUGUUCCGAUGAAAUUUUCGGGGAGCGCCAGAGAACGGGGCUCUGCCUUGCAGAUCUGGAGGCUCAAAGUCACUUAAAUCUGAACAUUUCGAGGAAGGAGAAGUCGUAACAAGGUAGCCG
Molecule: ribosomal RNA, 1217 nt
Filed under: uncultured Rhizaria
Lineage: Eukaryota
Description: SSU rRNA
Rfam family: Eukaryotic small subunit ribosomal RNA
Source: RNAcentral